AGUGAACGCUGGCGGCAUGCCUAAUACAUGCAAGUCGAACGACCACAUAGUAAGCUUUCUCCCUUACCGUUGGCGACUGACGGAUGAGUAAGACGUACAUAGCCAUCUUCUUAGACGUGAGUAACAACGUAGAACAGCUUACACUAACACCUCACACUUAGAACGGCAGAAAUCAGUGGAUCAUGGUGCCUUGCCUGAUCGAUUUAGCUGAUGUCGGAUUAGCUAGUUUAGGAGGUAAAGGCCUACCAAGGCAACGAUACGUAGCUGAUCUGAGAGGAUGAUCAGCCACACUGGAACUGAGACACGGUCCAGACUCCUACGGGAGGCAGCAGUAGGGAAUAUUGCACAAUGGGCGCAAGCCUGAUGGAGCCAUGCCGCGUGAGUGAUGAAGGUCUUCGGGUUGUAAAGCUCUGUUGUUGGGAAAGAAAAGCAGUGGGUUUAUCCGCCGCCGUCCUGACGGUACCUAAAGAAAAAGCCACGGCUAACUUCGUG
This 492-nucleotide ribosomal RNA is filed under the name uncultured bacterium. Its description in RNAcentral is "partial 16S ribosomal RNA". It matches the Rfam family "Bacterial small subunit ribosomal RNA", at positions 29 to 507 of the family's 1533-position model. The record is from RNAcentral.